GUGGGGAAUUUUGGACAAUGGGCGAAAGCCUGAUCCAGCCAUGCCGCGUGCAGGAUGAAGGCCUUCGGGUUGUAAACUGCUUUUGUACGGAACGAAAAGACUCUGGUUAAUACCUGGGGUCCAUGACGGUACCGUAAGAAUAAGCACCGGCUAACUACGUGCCAGCAGCCGCGGUAAUACGUAGGGUGCAAGCGUUAAUCGGAAUUACUGGGCGUAAAGCGUGCGCAGGCGGUUAUAUAAGACAGAUGUGAAAUCCCCGGGCUCAACCUGGGAACUGCAUUUGGGACUGUAUAGCUAGAGGACGGCAGAGGGGGAUGGAAUUCCGCGUGUAGCAGUGAAAUGCGUAGAUAUGCGGAGGAACACCGAUGGCGAAGGCAAUCCCCUGGGCCUGUACUGACGCUCAUGCACGAAAGCGUGGGGAGCAAACAGGAUUAGAUACCCUUGUAGUCC
This 450-nucleotide ribosomal RNA is filed under the name uncultured bacterium. Its description in RNAcentral is "partial 16S ribosomal RNA". It matches the Rfam family "Bacterial small subunit ribosomal RNA", at positions 354 to 796 of the family's 1533-position model. The record is from RNAcentral.